Long non-coding RNA from Agrilus planipennis (emerald ash borer), 1392 nucleotides. RefSeq lists it as uncharacterized. The record is from RefSeq and is a predicted model, not a curated record. NCBI's taxonomy places the organism in Eukaryota, Metazoa, Arthropoda, Insecta, Coleoptera, Buprestidae. The transcript has 3 exons.
UUACGAUUAGUAUUAGUAAUACGUGUGCCGCAACAGUGUUCUUCUAUUCAUUCCUCAAAGUUUUUAUUGCGUAGUCAUUUAUUAUUCAUCAAUCGUCAGUAAAACUUACUUUUAUAGAAAUCAAGUAAUGUCACAUAUUGUGUGGGUGGUUUUUAAAAUAAUGGAAAUAGUUUUUUUUUUUGUAUAGUGGGACAGUGGUGCAAAUGUGUGAAAGUGUCUAAAAGAAUCAUUCAGAUGUUGAACUGGAAAAUAAAAAAGGAACUGAUUAAAUAUAAAUAUAUAGCAGAAAACAUCGAAGCUUGUUCGCCAUUAGGAUUGAAAAAUGGAGAUUUGAUGGCAAAGCGCGACGAGUAUUCACGAGAGAGGGUCGACAGCGGUGAAAGAGCGAGGAGGGCGCGAGGGAGCUGAAAAUUCCCAGGAGACGCAUCUUCCACAUUUCAUUGGGACCAAACCACUCUUUCAACGGAGCCUGAGCUGCUUUUUCAGCAAGGCUCAGCUUUUUCGCCAGCCGAGCUGUUCACGAUCCUGAUCCCAUAAGCGGCCACGCAUGCGCCCUUUGGUUGCGCAGUUGGCGGGAAACGGAGGACAUUUGACGAUCGAUAGAGCACACAACCACCGCGGGGCCCCUCCCAUCAUCGUUUGCAUCCCCGAUAUUGUCACAACCUACUUGUCAUAAGCCGUUGCGCCUUUUGCCUGUCUGUCAUCGCGGUAUGAUCGCUAAUCUGUUUCCGUGCCGAAGUGGUGAAGCCACAGCCACCAGUCACGACGACAUCAAUGGAGACGUUUUUCCGUGUCCAAACGGUUACGUUUCGCAAACAACAAUCACGUGGAACAGCUUUAGCGACUCGAAGGAGAUAAAUGGAAGGAAAUUGCAUCGGGAGCAUUUGAUUCGCUGGAUUGAGCAAGGAGGAAUUGUUCUGUCCGAUAUUACAUGGGAUUGAAUAGCGAAUCAGUUCGUCGCCUAGAAGAUCAACGUUCAAACUUCUUAAAAUAACUAAGUGAGUUGAAAACAUAAGGUAUGUACCUACACCUUUUUAAUUUAAUAGUGAACAUCUUUUUCCAUUUAUAUAUAUCAACACUCCAUUCAACCAGAUUCCCGAGUGCGAUAUUUCAUGAAAAUAUUCCCUAUAUCAUUAAAUGUGAGAUACAUUUUUUCCGUUUUGGGGUUUCUCUGAUUGUUAGAAUUUUUGAACACUAUUCAUAAAAAAGGCUUUCUGCCUUUGUUCUAAUUAAUAUCAUAUUAAAUUAGGCAAUAGCUCAAAUGAUGCGUUAAAUAUGAAAGUUGAAGUCAAAUGAUGGAUCAUUAAAGUCUCUCAUUCUCAUAUGGAAGUCCAACAAGUUAAUCUUUAUUUAUGGUGAAUCGAUGGUUCUUAUAUCCUCUGCCAUUCUAUG